AUGCAUGGUCUGGAAUUGCUUAAGAAUGGUGUCAUUUGGCGGGUGGGAGAUGUAUCUAGCAUUAAUAUUUGGAGGGAUAAUUGGUUACCCAGGAACACUGGACUUAAAAUUUCAGCUAAAAGGCACAAUACUAGAUUGAACUGGGUCUGUGAUUUGUUCUUGAGUGGGAGAAAGGCAUGGGAUGAAAAUUUGAUCAAGUAUCUUUUCUAUCCCCAUGAUGCAGAGGAGGUUCUUAAGAUUCGUAUUCAUGCCUAUGGGGAUGGGGAUUUUAUUGCAUGGCACUAUGAGAAUAACGGUAUA
RNAcentral lists this ribosomal RNA (300 nucleotides) under Triticum aestivum (bread wheat). Its description in RNAcentral is "partial small subunit ribosomal RNA". The record is from RNAcentral. Lineage: Eukaryota; Viridiplantae; Streptophyta; Magnoliopsida; Poales; Poaceae.